CGAUCUGCCGCCCGGGUCAGGCCUUUCCGCACCGCAGCUGGUCCUUCACCUCCACCUGCAGCGCCCGAAACCCCCUGUGCUCCUGUGGGGCCAUCUUGGGCCCGGACUGAACUGGGAAAGGGACACACCCUGUCACCAUGGAUGACUGUCAGAUGGAGAGCGAAAUCACGAGGACGGAAAGCCCAAACGGAAGAGGUGUCCUGCGCCAAGGUGCCGCCCUGAGUGGGCCUAACCUCAGCCUACCUGGAACAGCGUGGUGGAGGCUUGCGGGGAGGAUGCACCGAAAAGGCCCAAGAAACCCGUGGCUGCCAUCACAGUCAGCACUACGUCCCGCCAAUGUCCAGGGGACCCCUCUGCAUCCCACCCACCAUCACCCCAAAGUCUUUCCCUUGCGAAGGGGCUCUGGGCUUCAGCUGCUGACUUGACAGAUUUCUUUCCUUUGCUUAGGAAAGGGGUCUCUGUGUCCCUCUCACCUUCUAAGGUUUUGUCCACCUUUGGGUUGGGGAUGGGGAGAAGAGCCCUCUGCUUCUCUGACCUUCUGAGGGCAUUUUCAGCUUCUUGUUCUUGGAUGGGGGAUGUCUGUGAAGGUCAGAAAUGGGGCACUGUGGCCAGGUGUGGUGGCUCACGCCUGUAAUCCCAACACUUUGGGAGGCUGAGGCAGGUGGAUCACAUGAGAACAGGAGUUUGAGACCAGCCUGGCCAACAUGGUGAAACUGUCUCUCCCUAUCUCUCCUAUUUCAUUCCACUGGAAGGGGAGUGUGUGUGUGUCCCAGAGGGACAGGGCCCCG
This 788-nucleotide long non-coding RNA is filed under the name Homo sapiens (human). Its description in RNAcentral is "HSALNT0240391". Lineage: Eukaryota; Metazoa; Chordata; Mammalia; Primates; Hominidae. The record is from RNAcentral.